UACAGAGGUCUCAAGCGUUGUCCGGAUUUACUGGGCGUAAAGAGCGCGCAGGCGGUCGAUCAAGUCGCGUGUGAAAGCCCCCGGCUCAACUGGGGAGGGUCACGCGAUACUGAUCGACUCGAAGGCAGGAGAGGGUAGUGGAAUUCCCGGUGUAGUGGUGAAAUGCGCAGAUAUCAGGAGGAACACCAAUUGCGAAGGCAGCUCGCUGGGACGUAACUGACGCUGAGACGCGAAAGCGUGGGGAGCAAACAGG
RNAcentral lists this ribosomal RNA (253 nucleotides) under uncultured bacterium. RNAcentral describes it as "partial 16S ribosomal RNA". It matches the Rfam family "Bacterial small subunit ribosomal RNA", at positions 524 to 776 of the family's 1533-position model. The record is from RNAcentral.